RNAcentral lists this ribosomal RNA (253 nucleotides) under uncultured bacterium. Its description in RNAcentral is "partial 16S ribosomal RNA". It matches the Rfam family "Bacterial small subunit ribosomal RNA", at positions 524 to 776 of the family's 1533-position model. The record is from RNAcentral.
UACAUGUGGGGCAAGCGUUGCUCGGAAUCACUGGGCGUAAAGGGUGCGUAGGCGGGUCUUUAAGUCAGGGGUGAAAUCCUGGAGCUCAACUCCAGAACUGCCUUUGAUACUGAGGAUCUUGAGUUCGGGAGAGGUGAGUGGAACUGCGAGUGUAGAGGUGAAAUUCGUAGAUGUUCGCAAGAACACCAGUGGCGAAGGCGGCUCACUGGCCCGAUACUGACACUAAACUACGAAAGCGUGGGGAGCAAACAGG